AGUGUGAGCCCUGCAGAAGUGUUAUGGAUGACUGCAAGAGCUGCUAGUGGAGGUCUGUAACAUGGAAGAUGCUCUUCCUUUGAUCUGAGCCUUGAGGAUAACUGAUGCUCAGGGACAAUGCUUUUACCUCCUGAAGAGCAUCCUCAGAGUCUGGUCCACAGUCCACGGAGUGAGGUUGAGGACCCAAAAAGGUAGCCUCAUUCUUGAUUUUGGCUGUCAAGAGGAUUUUAAAAACUGAGGUUGAAAAGGAGUUGGUAAUUGGCUCAGGAGUUCAUGGACGCAAACCCUUGACUGGAGCCCAUGAUGUCACCUGGAGAGAGAGACAAGUAAGUGUGACUCUGGCUUAUGCUGGAAGCAUGUGGUGCCACAGAGAACAGUGCAGGAUUUGGCAAGACCUCUUGGAGAGCUGGACCCCACACCUGUGGGGAGGGAGACAUGAGUAUUGUG
RNAcentral lists this long non-coding RNA (447 nucleotides) under Homo sapiens (human). RNAcentral's name for it is "HSALNT0010397". The record is from RNAcentral. Lineage: Eukaryota; Metazoa; Chordata; Mammalia; Primates; Hominidae.